AUUUUUUUCAGCUGCACCCUCAAUCCAUCAACGAAGCGAUCUUGGGAUUCCUGUAAAAUGUGACAGUGGAUUUGUAAAGCAAAAUUCUUUACUGGAUAAUUCGAAAUUGAAGGCUGAAUUGAAGCUGUUUGCAGUGUUUUCACAAACACUAAAGUAAAUGAAGUUGAAAGCAUUAUUAGAGGCUGGUUGUGCCAUGCUAAAGAAAGAAGAGUUUAUUCUG
Non-coding RNA from Parasteatoda tepidariorum (common house spider), 220 nucleotides. Lineage: Eukaryota; Metazoa; Arthropoda; Arachnida; Araneae; Theridiidae. The record is from RefSeq and is a predicted model, not a curated record.